RNAcentral lists this long non-coding RNA (292 nucleotides) under Physcomitrium patens. Its description in RNAcentral is "long non-coding RNA (PPAT_LNC007903)". The record is from RNAcentral. Lineage: Eukaryota; Viridiplantae; Streptophyta; Bryopsida; Funariales; Funariaceae.
UUAGGAUUUGUCUAUGCUUUGAUUAGGACUUAAGAUUUAAUCUAAGAUUUGAUUUCAAAAUUUAUUAGGAUUUGAUUAUAAUUUAUUUAAAAUUUCAUUAAGAUUUGACCUAGGAUUUUAUCAAGAUUCAAUUAGGGUUUUAAUUAGGAUUUGACUUAAGAUUUGGUUAAGAUUCAAUUAAGAUUUUAAUUAAGAUUGUAUUAGAAUUUCUAUUUCGAUUAUUAAUUCAGUAUUCUUUAUUAUUUCUUUAAAUUUUCUAUUUAUAAUAUUUCUUUAAGAUUAUUAUUAUUUU